Long non-coding RNA from Myripristis murdjan (pinecone soldierfish), 1626 nucleotides. The record is from Ensembl. Lineage: Eukaryota; Metazoa; Chordata; Actinopteri; Holocentriformes; Holocentridae.
UAUAAAUUAGAGCAGGAGAAAUAUAGCUUUGGGGUUAAAUUAGUCACGUCAGCAGUCACGUGACGUUAGCUUGCCAGCGAGCAAUCAAACAGGGAACGUAGCUAAUUUUAUUCCGGUAAUUUCACCCAAUCCAGGUUCAACAUUUGGACAGGUUUUUGACGGUUUUUCACAGCUUGGGGAUACUUACCUUAUUACCCAGAAUACAAAGAGUGUCUUUCCACUUUUCCCCGCACUGUGAAUAGGAAUAGCAGAGAGCAGCAGCGGUGUGUAAUUUACUCAGAACGAGGGGAUCCACAGACCGAGGAGGCUCCUGCUUUCUGCACAGGAAGUUACUCUACCUGGAGGUAGAAGGCCCAGUUCUGACUCUAAACACAUCCAGCACUCAACCUGCAGGCUUCUUGUCUGAUUCGAUGAAUCACUCAGCUUUCUGGACACCAGCAAUUGGAUGGCAUGCUAUGUGCAGAGAGAGAGGAGGCAAGUAAUGCUGCUGAAAGGAUCUUAGAUGACAGUGGAGUGGCGAGGAGAGGAGCGUUUGUCCUCGGCCGGUGGAGCUCAGAUGGGAGGCAGUGCUGCCUCUGGUUGGGACUGGGGAUGCUGAACGGGGGGAGGGAGGGCCUGUUUGAGCUGGGACAGCAGCUCCAGCAGCAGGGGGAGUACCAGGCCGCCCUCCACUGCUUCCUCAGCUGCCUGUUGGGACUGACCCAUGUGCAGAGCUUCACCUCUCUGCCCAACUGUCUACACCAGAUUGCAGAACUCUUCAUCACUGAAAAGAAUUAUGGGAAGGCCCUUCAGUUCAUCCAGGCUGAAAAAAUGUUCUACGAGGUGGCACUGAUAGAGCUCACCGCUCUCCAGGGGAGCACAGGGCCUCAGGAGGAGGCUAUGUUGGGCUCUGCAGGAUGGGCCACCCCAGAGGAGCUUUCAGAGCAGGCCUCCCAGGCACAGCACCUCGAACGGCUGGCCCAGCUCUGCAUCAUGAGCAAACGGCCUCAUCUUGCUUUAGAAUACAGUGGUAAGGCCACUAAGAUCCACCAGAGGGCCUUUGGUAAUGACCACCCAAUAACAGCCCGGAGCCUGGAGCUUUUGGCCACUGUCUAUGCUGAGAUUGGCAAGACUGAAUAUUCAGACUCCCUGGGUCAGUGUGUGUCCGCGCUGUCCAAACGGUUUGCUGCUGCCGAGUCCGUCAAAGACACCGUCAACUGUCUUCCUCAUUCCCACCGGGAGAAACACUCAGAGGUCCGCCACCGGAAGGACACCCACCACCAACAGGAGGAUACACUGAGACCCAAGGUAACCAAUGGUAAAGUCCCCACCUCCAUACUAAAGAGGCCCGGCCCCAGCUGUGGGUCAGACACAGAACCCGCUCACAGACGGAAGGGCGAGCGCAGGGUUCGAUUCAGGGAGCCAGAGACCACUGUACAUGCCUACGAGACGACACCGACUCGCCCCCACCUUGCCCUCUUCACCUGCCUCUUCCUGCUGAUGUCAUUCCUGGGCGUGGCCAUGUACUGCACAGACCGCCGGCGCCCACAGCGGGUGUGUGAGGAGCUCGAGGCCUCGCUGGCCAUCUACCUACUGCAUAUGAAGCAGCUUCUCUGGGGCUGCUGGAUAUGGCUGACAAUGCAGUGA